AGCUCCAAUAGCGUAUAUUAAAGUUGUUGCAGUUAAAAAGCUCGUAGUUGGAUUUCUGAUAGAGGGUUAAGGCCCACUUGUGUGGUGCCGCAAUCCUUUGCCAUCCUUCUGUUAACCUUAGCGUCAUUUAACCGUCGCUUUGGGGCUCAGAUAUUUUACCUUGAGAAAAUUAGAGUGUUUCAGGCAGGCUAGUGCCCGGAUACAUUAGCAUGGAAUAACGGAAUAGGACUUUAGCCUCUUCUGUUGGUCUGAGGGGUUGAAGUAAUGAUUAAUAGGGAUAGUUGGGGGCAUUAGUACUUAACUGUCAGAGGUGAAAGUCUCGGAUUUGUUAAAGACUAACCUAUGCGAAAGCAUUUGCCAAGGAGGUUU
Molecule: ribosomal RNA, 369 nt
Filed under: uncultured eukaryote
Lineage: Eukaryota
Description: SSU rRNA
Rfam family: Eukaryotic small subunit ribosomal RNA
Source: RNAcentral